CCUACGGGUGGCAGCAGUGAGGAAUAUUGGUCAAUGGACGAGAGUCUGAACCAGCCAAGUAGCGUGAAGGAUGACUGCCCUAUGGGUUGUAAACUUCUUUUAUAUGGGAAUAAAAUGUUCCACGUGUGGGAUUUUGUAUGUACCAUAUGAAUAAGGAUCGGCUAACUCCGUGCCAGCAGCCGCGGUAAUACGGAGGAUCCGAGCGUUAUCCGGAUUUAUUGGGUUUAAAGGGAGCGUAGGUGGAUUGUUAAGUCAGUUGUGAAAGUUUGCGGCUCAACCGUAAAAUUGCAGUUGAAACUGGCAGUCUUGAGUACAGUAGAGGUGGGCGAAUUUCGUGGGGUAGCGGUGAAAUGCUUAGAUAUCACGAAGAACUCCGAUUGCGAAGGCAGUUCACUGGACUGCAACUGACACUGAGGCUCGAAAGUGUGGGUAUCAAACAGGAUUAGAUACCCCAGUAGUC
RNAcentral lists this ribosomal RNA (460 nucleotides) under uncultured bacterium. RNAcentral's name for it is "partial 16S ribosomal RNA". It matches the Rfam family "Bacterial small subunit ribosomal RNA", at positions 338 to 795 of the family's 1533-position model. The record is from RNAcentral.